GACGAACGCUGGCGGCGUGCUUAACACAUGCAAGUCGAACGGAAAGGCCCUGCUUUUGUGGGGUGCUCGAGUGGCGAACGGGUGAGUAACACGUGAGUAACCUGCCCUUGACUUUGGGAUAACUUCAGGAAACUGGGGCUAAUACCGGAUAGGAGCUCCUGCUGCAUGGUGGGGGUUGGAAAGUUUCGGCGGUUGGGGAUGGACUCGCGGCUUAUCAGCUUGUUGGUGGGGUAGUGGUUUACCAAGGCUUUGACGGGUAGCCGGCCUGGGAGGGUGGCCGGCCACAUUGGGACUGAGAUACGGCCCAGACUCCUACGGGAGGCAGCAGUGGGGAAUAUUGCACAAUGGGCGGAAGCCUGAUGCAGCAACGCCGCGUGCGGGAUGACGGCCUUCGGGUUGUAAACCGCUUUCGCCUGUGACGAAGCGUGAGUGACGGUAAUGGGUAAAGAAGCACCGGCUAACUACGUG
This 468-nucleotide ribosomal RNA is filed under the name uncultured bacterium. Its description in RNAcentral is "partial 16S ribosomal RNA". It matches the Rfam family "Bacterial small subunit ribosomal RNA", at positions 28 to 507 of the family's 1533-position model. The record is from RNAcentral.